CCCCUCAUGUGGUAGUUUAGCGUGAAGUGGACUCUAAAGUUAUACCUUGGGAGUUACCCUACUCGCCUCUCCAAUUGAGGUAAAAUAUAUCAAGAUUCCGUACCCCUCUAAUAGGCUAGUCCACAGAACCCAGUCCACUGUAGCAAGCAAUACACACCAUACAAUAAAAUUUUGACAGCAUGACGUGACUAAAAUUAUACUAUCCAGCCUGUAAAUGUAAAACAGAAUAAUUCAUACAAUUCACCAAAAAUGCAACCCAGCCAAUCAUGCCAACACAUUAACAUAAGCCAUCAAUUCAAAUCAUAAAUUUACAACACAUCAGAAGUUUCCAAUUACUCUAUUUUCAAAAUCAUUAUUCAAUUUCAAGACAGUUUAUAAAAUCUUUUCAUUUAAACACAUUUUGUUUAUAAACAUAAAGGUUUACCAUUUAAACCCAUUUUUCAUAAAAUCAUAAAAUCGGAUAAAAACCACUUUAGAUAAUUAAGACGAUAGUAAGGUUACUCACAGUUCUAAGAGUCAAUGUACUCCUAAUCCCAGUCUUUAAGUACAAUCUUUGUACUUUUACCAGUGUAAUUUGCUCACCACCUAUCCACAAUGUACAAUACAUAAUUCACCACAUUAAUGCUUGACCAUUAUAAAAUCAAUUCAGGCUCGGUGUAUAUGCAUAAUAUGAUAUGCAACUUAUCUGACUACCGCUUAAAUGCGGUGUUGACCUAAUUCGGCCUAUUACCUGAUUCGGCUUAUCCGAUUACCAAAUUGCUCCAUUUCAUUUCUAAUAUUUCAAUUCACUAAAUACAAUUCCAGUAAUCUAAAAUUCAGCCUAACAACCCUCACAACUCUUCUUGAAAAUUCCUGCCAUUGUGGUACACUAUCACUAAAAAUUUUCCCAUUCCAUUUUCUCACCAUAAAUCAUCAUUUCAUCCAUUUUUCAACCAAUUCACUUGAUCACAAAAUCAAUUCAUUACUUCUACACUUCACAUAGGGUUCGGCCAUUGAAGGUUCAUGGGGAAAAUGGAUUAUUUUCUUGUUGUUUUAUUUCUAAACAUACUUAACUAACUCUAAACACCAACAUAACUCAAAAUCAAAUCAAUCUAACAUCAUUCUCUCUCCAUACCCAUUCCGACCAGCCAUGAAUUCAUCAUGAAAAUAUGCAAUUUAACCAUGAAAAAUGAGGAGAAAUGCAUGGGAAAGAAAGAUGUCAAGUUUAAUUGGAAAAUUUUACCUUUUUUUCACUUCUUUCCUUGAAUUUUCACACUUUUUCCUUGAAUUUUUCCACCUAGGGUUUGUUCUCUUCCUUUUCUUCUUUUGUUCUUCUUUGGUCUUGGUUUGGCCAGCCAUAUGAAAGAAAA
Molecule: long non-coding RNA, 1349 nt
Filed under: Theobroma cacao (cacao)
Lineage: Eukaryota; Viridiplantae; Streptophyta; Magnoliopsida; Malvales; Malvaceae
Description: long non-coding RNA (TCAC_LNC002884)
Source: RNAcentral